This 405-nucleotide ribosomal RNA is filed under the name uncultured bacterium. Its description in RNAcentral is "bacterial SSU rRNA". It matches the Rfam family "Bacterial small subunit ribosomal RNA", at positions 370 to 772 of the family's 1533-position model. The record is from RNAcentral.
AAUGGAGGCAACUCUAAACCAGCCAUGCCGCGUGCAGGAAGAAUGCCCUAUGGGUUGUAAACUGCUUUUAUUUGGGAAUAAACCCCUCUACGUGUAGGGGGCUGAAGGUACCAAAGGAAUAAGGACCGGCUAACUCCGUGCCAUCAGCCGCGGUAAUACGGAGGGUCCGAGCGUUAUCCGGAAUCAUNGGGUCUAANGGGUGCGUAGGUGGGUUGGUAAGNCAGUGGUUAAAUCUCCGAGCUUAACUUGGAAACUGCCAUUGAUACUAUCAGUCUUGAAUAUUGUGGAGGUCAGCGGAAUAUGUCAUGUAGCGGUGAAAUGCUUAGAUAUGACAUAGAACACCAAUUGCGAAGGCAGCUGGCUACGCAUAUAUUGACACUGAGGCACGAAAGCGUGGGGAUCAAA